Molecule: long non-coding RNA, 806 nt
Organism: Diabrotica virgifera virgifera (western corn rootworm)
Lineage: Eukaryota; Metazoa; Arthropoda; Insecta; Coleoptera; Chrysomelidae
Exons: 3
Source: RefSeq, a predicted model, not a curated record
GAGUUUCCCAAGUUCAAUUAAUACAAUAUUAUAAACAUACAAAUGUAAUAAAAAUUAUUGUUCGCGAAUAUUCAAUUUGGAAUGCGAUUUUGUUAAUAAAAAAAAAUACUUAUAACUUAUGCAAAACCCAAGAGAGGCAUUUAUAUUUAUUUCUUUUGCGUUCAUUUUCAAAUUCGCCGUGCAUAUAUUUUUGUGCAUGGCGCUUGAGAGGGCAUCACGUGACUAAAAACGACCAACCAACGACCUCGCUUCGGCCAUCUUGGCAUCUUCAUCUUGGCCACCUUGCUUUGCCGUGGGUGGAUCGUUGUUUCUAUUAUUUGUGCUUUUUAAGAAUAUUUUUUUAAUUCGGAUACUUUUAUAAUAGCUUUAAUAGUAUUAUUAACAUAGUGAAUAAAAUGGUGUCCUGUUUUUAACGCAGUUGGAGUAGCAGAAACAAAUGUAGAUAAAAAAAUCUGCAGGAAUAACGUUUCAAUUAUGACAGAAGCUCCAAACAAAUGACUGUGAAUGAAAAGCCCUAUUAAAAGCUUUCCAGAAGAUCCUGCGAAGAAGACAUGAAGUAUAGAUCAGAUUUGUUAAUAGAGGAGUAUGUUCAAAACACUUUUUAGAAAAAGAUAUUGACAGAACUUCACUUUCAUCUGUUCGUUUAAGAGACUGUGCUGUUCCAAUAGCUUAUGUCACACAGAAUCAGCUGAGAGAAGUGGUCUACAAAAAACCAGAAAGGAAACGGAAUAUGUGGCUACGAAAAGCAAAAGAAAGGUUUACAAAGCAAAUGUGACACAUUUUUUUAUAAUAUUUAGGAAUGUCAG